CUCCCUGAUGUUAGCGGCGGACGGGUGAGUAACACGUGGGUAACCUGCCUGUAAGACUGGGAUAACUCCGGGAAACCGGGGCUAAUACCGGAUGGUUGUCUGAACCGCAUGGUUCAGACAUAAAAGGUGGCUUCGGCUACCACUUACAGAUGGACCCGCGGCGCAUUAGCUAGUUGGUGAGGUAACGGCUCACCAAGGCGACGAUGCGUAGCCGACCUGAGAGGGUGAUCGGCCACACUGGGACUGAGACACGGCCCAGACUCCUACGGGAGGCAGCAGUAGGGAAUCUUCCGCAAUGGACGAAAGUCUGACGGAGCAACGCCGCGUGAGUGAUGAAGGUUUUCGGAUCGUAAAGCUCUGUUGUUAGGGAAGAACAAGUGCCGUUCAAAUAGGGCGGCACCUUGACGGUACCUAACCAGAAAGCCACGGCUAACUACGUGCCAGCAGCCGCGGUAAUACGUAGGUGGCAAGCGUUGUCCGGAAUUAUUGGGCGUAAAGGGCUCGCAGGCGGUUUCUUAAGUCUGAUGUGAAAGCCCCCGGCUCAACCGGGGAGGGUCAUUGGAAACUGGGGAACUUGAGUGCAGAAGAGGAGAGUGGAAUUCCACGUGUAGCGGUGAAAUGCGUAGAGAUGUGGAGGAACACCAGUGGCGAAGGCGACUCUCUGGUCUGUAACUGACGCUGANGAGCGAAAGCGUNNGAGCGAACAGGAUUAGAUACCCUGGUAGUCCACGCCGUAAACGAUGAGUGCUAAGUGUUAGGGGGUUUCCGCCCCUUAGUGCUGCAGCUAACGCAUUAAGCACUCCGCCUGGGGAGUACGGUCGCAAGACUGAAACUCAAAGGAAUUGACGGGGGCCCGCACAAGCGGUGGAGCAUGUGGUUU
Molecule: ribosomal RNA, 880 nt
Filed under: Bacillus sp. (in: firmicutes)
Lineage: Bacteria; Bacillati; Bacillota; Bacilli; Caryophanales; Bacillaceae
Description: bacterial SSU rRNA
Rfam family: Bacterial small subunit ribosomal RNA
Source: RNAcentral